CCUACGGGAGGCAGCAGUGGGGGAUAUUGCACAAUGGGGGGAACCCUGAUGCAGCGACGCCGCGUGGGUGAAGGAGUGCUUCGGCAUGUAAAGCCCUAUCGGCAGGGACGAAGCAAGACGGUACCUGACUAAGAAGCCCCGGCUAACUACGUGCCAGCAGCCGCGGUAAUACGUAGGGGGCGAGCGUUAUCCGGAUUCACUGGGUGUAAGGGGAGCGUAGACGGCCAUGCAAGCCAGGGGUGAAAGCCCGGGGCACAACCCCGGGACUGCCCUUGGAACUGUGCGGCUAGAGGGCGGGAGGGGCAGGCGGAAUUCCUGGUGGAGCGGUGAAAUGCGGAGAUAUCAGGAGGAACACCGGCGGCGAAGGCGGCCUGCUGGACCGCGACUGACGUUGAGGCUCGAAAGCGUGGGGAGCGAACAGGAUUAGAUACCCUGGUAGUC
This 441-nucleotide ribosomal RNA is filed under the name uncultured bacterium. RNAcentral's name for it is "partial 16S ribosomal RNA". It matches the Rfam family "Bacterial small subunit ribosomal RNA", at positions 338 to 795 of the family's 1533-position model. The record is from RNAcentral.